CAAUUUGCACUCUGAUGGGAUAAUAAUUAACAACGCCUGUCAGCAUCGGCGAAGAAACAAUCUCGAAAAACGUCGACCUGGAUACCAAAAUAAAUGGUAACACAAGGAUAACCAUGGCCUGAUCACCACACAUCCGCUCGGGAUGAGUAUUCUCUUCUUUUUUAUUCUUUUCUUGAACCCCGAAAUUUUCUUUUCUUCCCCUUUUUU
Molecule: long non-coding RNA, 207 nt
Filed under: Lathyrus oleraceus (garden pea)
Lineage: Eukaryota; Viridiplantae; Streptophyta; Magnoliopsida; Fabales; Fabaceae
Description: Pisum sativum (pea) long non-coding RNA (PSAT_LNC032882)
Source: RNAcentral